Long non-coding RNA from Perca flavescens (yellow perch), 647 nucleotides. RefSeq lists it as uncharacterized. The transcript has 4 exons. The record is from RefSeq and is a predicted model, not a curated record. Lineage: Eukaryota; Metazoa; Chordata; Actinopteri; Perciformes; Percidae.
CAUGCGUCAGUGCUGGUUCUUGGCCAAGAUCUAUUGUUUCACUGGCGGGACACUGGAGUCAAGCUGUUCGGUUUAGCUAAGUCCCAAUGUGUCGAGAGAGAAAAAGGGAUGCAGUUGUUUGUCGCCUCAUUGAGUACCUUGGGGAACAUCAAGAAGAUCUCAUCCAAGAUUGCUAGGAUGAAAAUGAGGACAACAUGGACUAAACCAUGAAGGUGCUUGUGAUCCAUAAUCCUGCAGCCAAGGAUCAUACAACAUGUGUUGAUUGCGAUGGAGGGAAACAAAGUGCUGAACGUGUGUGGAAACCGAACCAAGGCACAGACUGUUUCCUGGGAACUUACUGUUGGUGCUGAAGAAUGCUCACUGUACAAUGCAAUCAGACAAUUUCAUCUCCCAAAGAGCAGUGUCACAUUGAAAUUCACUACAUUCAAAUAAUGCAUAUCAUCUCAUGGAUCAAUGUUAUUCAAAAGAUACAUAUUGGUUGAGCAAGGACUGAACUCAGUGUGAUUCUGACUGGUACUAGGCUGUCAAUUCAUUUAACCAAAGGGACACAGUGUUGAGAUGUGGAAAAUGCUGUUUUUUGUUCAGGCACAGACUGACUGGUUAUCUUCAACAAUCCCAUAAGGCUUUGCAAAUAUCUGCAUAUGUUC